CCUACGGGUGGCAGCAGUGAGGAAGAUGGGGCAAUGGGCGCGAGCCUGAACAAGCCAAGGAGCGGGAAGGAUGACUGCCCUAUGGGGUGUAAACUUCUUUUAUAUGGGAAUAAAGUGCAGCAUGUAUACCUCUUUGCAUGUACCUUAUGAAUAAGGAUCGGCUAACUCCGUGCCAGCAGCCGCGGUAAUACGGAGGAUCCGAGCGUUAUCCGGAUUUAUUGGGUUUAAAGGGAGCGUAGUCGGGUUGUUAAGUCAGUUGUGAAAGUUUGCGGCUCAACCGUAAAAUUGCAGUUGAUACUGGCAUCCUUGAGUACAGUAGAGGUAGGCGGAAUUCGUGGUGUAGCGGUGAAAUGCUUAGAUAUCACGAAGAACUCCGAUUGCGAAGGCAGCCUGCUGGACUGUAACUGACGCUGAUGCUCGAAAGUGUGGGUAUCAAACAGGAUUAGAUACCCUUGUAGUC
Molecule: ribosomal RNA, 460 nt
Filed under: uncultured bacterium
Lineage: Bacteria
Description: partial 16S ribosomal RNA
Rfam family: Bacterial small subunit ribosomal RNA
Source: RNAcentral